This is a non-coding RNA of Schizosaccharomyces pombe (fission yeast), 216 nucleotides long. The record is from the annotation of a GenBank genome assembly. NCBI's taxonomy places the organism in Eukaryota, Fungi, Ascomycota, Schizosaccharomycetes, Schizosaccharomycetales, Schizosaccharomycetaceae.
UUUGGCGUUCUUCUUAUUUUGCUCAUUAUGUAAACGUAUUAGCAAUUCAUUUUUAUCAAUAGUAUCCAACUGGAAACGACCAAGUCUCCCAAUGCGAUAUUGUUGAAUUACAUAGUUAGAAACAAAAUUCUCGUCGAAGCCACCCUUAGUUAGUUUACGAGCUUUGUAGGCAGUGUUUUGUAAAAAUUCAUCCACAUCAUUUGUCGGUAAUGACCA